Molecule: ribosomal RNA, 391 nt
Filed under: Acanthamoeba sp.
Lineage: Eukaryota; Discosea; Longamoebia; Acanthamoebidae
Description: SSU rRNA
Rfam family: Eukaryotic small subunit ribosomal RNA
Source: RNAcentral
UGGGAGGAACCCCCUGGGUCCCUCCUCUAUUUUGCAUUUGGGUUUUGACACGCCGAGGACCAUGGGUAAUGAUUAAUAGGGAUAGUUGGGGGCAUUAUAUUUAAUUGUCAGAGGUGAAAUUCUUGGAUUUAUGAAAGAUUAACUUCUGCGAAAGCAUCUGCCAAGGAUGUUUUCAUUAAUCAAGAACGAAAGUUAGGGGAUCGAAGACGAUCAGAUACCGUCGUAGUCUUAACCAUAAACGAUGCCGACCAGCGAUUAGGAGACGUUGAAUACAAAACACCACCAUCGGUGCGGUCGUCCUUGGCAUUUGUCGUGGCGCAAGUCACGGCAGGUGUGAGGAUGGUUUAGCCUGAUGGAUUUCGGUGAAUGACUCCCUAGCAGCUUGUGAGAA